UAGAGGAAGUAAAAGUCGUAACAAGGUUUCCGUAGGUGAACCUGCGGAAGGAUCAUUUACCGAGAAGUUGUAGGCUUCUGUCUACCAUCUCUUACCCAUGUCUUUUGCGUACUUAACGUUUCCUCGGCAGGUCCGCCUGCCGUAGGACAAUUAUAAACCAUUUGCAGUUGCAGUCAGCGUCUGAAAAACAUAAUAAUUACAACUUUUAACAACGGAUCUCUUGGUUCUGGCAUCGAUGAAGAACGCAGCGAAAUGCGAUAAGUAGUGUGAAUUGCAGAAUUCAGUGAAUCAUCGAAUCUUUGAACGCACAUUGCGCCCCUUGGUAUUCCAUGGGGCAUGCCUGUUCGAGCGUCAUUUGUACCUUCAAGCUCUGCUUGGUGUUGGGUGUUUGUCCCGCCUUUGUGCGCGGACUCGCCUUAAAGCAAUUGGCAGCCGGCGUAUAGAUUUCGGAGCGCAGCACAAUCCGCGCUUUGUACUCAUUACGACGACAUCCAUCAAGACAUUUUUUAACUCUUGACCUCGGAUCAGGUAGGGAUACCCGCUGAACUUAAGCAUAUCA
RNAcentral lists this ribosomal RNA (559 nucleotides) under Ascomycota sp. UNEX FECRGA 2012E143. RNAcentral's name for it is "eukaryotic LSU rRNA". The stretch from base 201 to 354 matches the Rfam family "5.8S ribosomal RNA". The record is from RNAcentral. Lineage: Eukaryota; Fungi; Ascomycota.